CUUUUUAAAUAGCAUUAGACCCCUCUAUACUCUUGGUAUCUUCAAGUGUCAGCUGAGUCCAAUUGCAGGUCCCAAACUCCCUUUGACCCCCUUCUUUACCCUUAAAAGACAGUAAGGUCAGGGCAUCUCAAAGUCAACCCCCUCACCCAUUUUAAGGGGUGGUCCCAUCCCACCAACUCUG
Molecule: non-coding RNA, 181 nt
Organism: Manis javanica (Malayan pangolin)
Lineage: Eukaryota; Metazoa; Chordata; Mammalia; Pholidota; Manidae
Source: RefSeq, a predicted model, not a curated record